Callithrix jacchus (white-tufted-ear marmoset) is the source of this 243-nucleotide unclassified non-coding RNA. It matches the Rfam family "Metazoan signal recognition particle RNA". Rfam says of the family: The signal recognition particle (SRP) is a universally conserved ribonucleoprotein. The record is from Ensembl. NCBI's taxonomy places the organism in Eukaryota, Metazoa, Chordata, Mammalia, Primates, Cebidae.
GCCUGGCAUGGUGGCUCAGGCCUGUAAUCCCAGCAUUUUGGGAGGCUGAGGCUGUAGUGCACUAUGCCAACCGGGUAUCUGCAUCAAGUUCGGCCUCAAUAUGACCUCCCAGGCGUGGAGGACCACCAGGUUGCCUAAGUAGGAGUGAACUGGCCCAGGUUGGAAACAGAGGUCAAAACUCCUGUGCUGAGGCUGGGUGCUGUGGCUCAUGCUUGUAAUCCCAGCUCUUUGAGACUGUCUUAA